UACGUAGGGGGCAAGCGUUGUCCGGAAUCAUUGGGCGUAAAGAGCGCGUAGGCGGCCCGAUAAGUCCGCUGUGAAAGUCAAGGGCUUAACCCUUGAAUGCCGGUGGAAACUGUCGGGCUAGAGUCCGGAAGAGGCGAGUGGAAUUCCUGGUGUAGCAGUGAAAUGCGUAGAUAUCGGGAGGAAUACCGAUGGCGAAGGCAGGUCUCUGGGCUGACACUGACGCUCAUGCACGAAAGCGUGGGGAGCAAACAGG
Molecule: ribosomal RNA, 253 nt
Filed under: uncultured bacterium
Lineage: Bacteria
Description: partial 16S ribosomal RNA
Rfam family: Bacterial small subunit ribosomal RNA
Source: RNAcentral